Long non-coding RNA from Lytechinus variegatus (green sea urchin), 305 nucleotides. RefSeq lists it as uncharacterized. The record is from RefSeq and is a predicted model, not a curated record. The transcript is spliced from 2 exons. Lineage: Eukaryota; Metazoa; Echinodermata; Echinoidea; Temnopleuroida; Toxopneustidae.
GUCUCAUCAUCCGUAUAUUUUUCUCUCUCUUUUCUCAUGCAGCGGUGUCAUCCUUAGAAGAGUUCAAGAAUUUAACGGACCACUACAAGGCGUCUCAAAAUGUGGAUAAGGAUUUAUUUGUCCAAGAUACCAGACCGGGUUGCCUGACAGCUAUCUAUGAUAGAGCAAGUACAGAUCUUAAGGAUAUAUACGCUAAGUUCAAGGAAUACCACGAAGAUGAAGUGACGGUGAUUAGUAUGCAAGCAAGUAGCUUGCUAGCAGCGGAAUACAAAGCACAGUCGGAAUAUAAUAUCAUCUUUCCAAGG